This 372-nucleotide ribosomal RNA is filed under the name uncultured bacterium. RNAcentral's name for it is "bacterial SSU rRNA". It matches the Rfam family "Bacterial small subunit ribosomal RNA", at positions 528 to 896 of the family's 1533-position model. The record is from RNAcentral.
UAGGGGUCUAGCGUUGUCCGGAAUUAUUGGGCGUAAAGAGCUCGUAGGCGGUUCGGCAAGUCGGAUGUGAAAUCUCCACGCUUAACGUGGAGGGGCCAUUCGAAACUGCCGUGACUCGAGUCCGGUAGGGGAGUGCGGAAUUCCCGGUGUAGCGGUGAAAUGCGCAGAUAUCGGGAGGAACACCAGUGGCGAAGGCGGCACUCUGGGCCGGAACUGACGCUGAGGAGCGAAAGCGUGGGGAGCGAACAGGAUUAGAUACCCUGGUAGUCCACGCCGUAAACGUUGGGCACUAGGUGUGGGGCUCUAUCGACGGGUUCCGUGCCGUAGCUAACGCAUUAAGUGCCCCGCCUGGGGAGUACGGCCGCAAGGCUA